AUUGAACGCUGGCGGCAUGCCUUACACGUGCAAGUCGAACGGCAGCACGGGAGCAAUCCUGGUGGCGAGUGGCGAACGGGUGAGUAAUGUAUCGGAACGUGCCCAGUCGUGGGGGAUAACGUAGCGAAAGCUACGCUAAUACCGCAUACGAUCUAUGGAUGAAAGCGGGGGAUCGCAAGACCUCGCGCGAUUGGAGCAGCCGGUAUCAGAUUAGGUAGUUGGUGGGGUAAAGGCUCACCAAGCCGACGAUCUGUAGCUGGUCUGAGAGGACGACCAGCCACACUGGGACUGAGACACGGCCCAGACUCCUACGGGAGGCAGCAGUGGGGAAUUUUGGACAAUGGGCGCAAGCCUGAUCCAGCAAUGCCGCGUGCAGGAUGAAGGCCUUCGGGUUGUAAACUGCUUUUGUACGGAACGAAACGGCGAGCUCUAAUACAGUUUGCUAAUGACGGUACCGUAAGAAUAAGCACCGGCUAACUACGUGCCAGCCGCCGCCGUAA
RNAcentral lists this ribosomal RNA (500 nucleotides) under uncultured bacterium. RNAcentral's name for it is "partial 16S ribosomal RNA". It matches the Rfam family "Bacterial small subunit ribosomal RNA", at positions 30 to 523 of the family's 1533-position model. The record is from RNAcentral.